This 298-nucleotide long non-coding RNA is filed under the name Equus caballus (horse). RNAcentral's name for it is "lncRNA (ENSECAG00000038389.3)". Lineage: Eukaryota; Metazoa; Chordata; Mammalia; Perissodactyla; Equidae. The record is from RNAcentral.
CCUCCUUCGCAACAGAUGUUCAUCUCCCUUCUCUUCCACAGUCUCCUAGCGGUGAGGGAAAGGAGAGGAGAGUAGAAAGUUAAGUGCAGAAAUUCACCCAUGCGAGACCCUUAUGAUGCUCAGUGGUGCUGAUUGGAAGUGCUGGAGGAGAAUCUCUCCAACAUAGAGGGAAUCAUUAGCCACCCAAACCUGUCUGUUGAGAAGACUCCCAGAAACCCCUUGGACCCACAGUUGCUGAGUGUGCCGGGACUGGCCUUGGAUAGCUCUCCAGCCUUACAAGGGACAGCAGUGUUUUGAG